This 497-nucleotide ribosomal RNA is filed under the name uncultured bacterium. Its description in RNAcentral is "partial 16S ribosomal RNA". It matches the Rfam family "Bacterial small subunit ribosomal RNA", at positions 28 to 507 of the family's 1533-position model. The record is from RNAcentral.
GACGAACGCUGGCGGCGUGCCUAAUACAUGCAAGUAGAACGCUGAAGAGAGGAGCUUGCUCUUCUUGGAUGAGUUGCGAACGGGUGAGUAACGCGUAGGUAACCUGCCUUGUAGCGGGGGAUAACUAUUGGAAACGAUAGCUAAUACCGCAUAACAAUGGAUGACACAUGUCAUUUAUUUGAAAGGGGCAAUUGCUCCACUACAAGAUGGACCUGCGUUGUAUUAGCUAGUAGGUGAGGUAAUGGCUCACCUAGGCGACGAUACAUAGCCGACCUGAGAGGGUGGUCGGCCACACUGGGACUGAGACACGGCCCAGACUCCUACGGGAGGCAGCAGUAGGGAAUCUUCGGCAAUGGGGGCAACCCUGACCGAGCAACGCCGCGUGAGUGAAGAAGGUUUUCGGAUCGUAAAGCUCUGUUGUAAGUCAAGAACGGGUGUGAGAGUGGAAAGUUCACACUGUGACGGUAGCUUACCAGAAAGGGACGGCUAGCUACGUG